AAACAACCCAGACCGCCAGCUAAGGUCCCAAAGUCAUGGUUAAGUGGGAAACGAUGUGGGAAGGCCCAGACAGCCAGGAUGUUGGCUUAGAAGCAGCCAUCAUUUAAAGAAAGCGUAAUAGCUCACUGGUCGAGUCGGCCUGCGCGGAAGAUGUAACGGGGCUAAACCAUGCACCGAAGCUGCGGCAGCGACGCUGAUGCGUUGUUGGGUAGGGGAGCGUUCUGUAAGCCUGCGAAGGUGGCCUGUGAGGGUUGCUGGAGGUAUCAGAAGUGCGAAUGCUGACAUAAGUAACGAUAAAGCGGGUGAAAAGCCCGCUCGCCGGAAGACCAAGGGUUCCUGUCCAACGUUAAUCGGGGCAGGGUGAGUCGACCCCUAAGGCGAGGCCGAAAGGCGUAGUCGAUGGGAAACGGGUUAAUAUUCCCGUACUUGGUGUUACUGCGAAGGGGGGACGGAGAAGGCUAUGUUGGCCGGGCGACGGUUGUCCCGGUUUAAGCGUGUAGGUGUGUGUUCCAGGUAAAUCCGGUU
This 525-nucleotide ribosomal RNA is filed under the name Salmonella enterica. Its description in RNAcentral is "partial 23S ribosomal RNA". It matches the Rfam family "Bacterial large subunit ribosomal RNA", at positions 1020 to 1547 of the family's 2925-position model. The record is from RNAcentral. Lineage: Bacteria; Pseudomonadati; Pseudomonadota; Gammaproteobacteria; Enterobacterales; Enterobacteriaceae.